Molecule: non-coding RNA, 83 nt
Organism: Nerophis lumbriciformis (worm pipefish)
Lineage: Eukaryota; Metazoa; Chordata; Actinopteri; Syngnathiformes; Syngnathidae
Source: the annotation of a RefSeq genome assembly
GGUUGUCGUGGCUGAGUGGUUAAGGCAAUGGACUAACAAUCCAUUGGGGUCUCCCCGUGCAGGUUCAAAUCCUCCUGCAAACA